Molecule: non-coding RNA, 192 nt
Organism: Musa acuminata subsp. malaccensis (wild Malaysian banana)
Lineage: Eukaryota; Viridiplantae; Streptophyta; Magnoliopsida; Zingiberales; Musaceae
Source: Rfam
GAUCUGCAAAGAGAGCUUCCUUCAGUCCACUCUUGGGUGGCCAUGGGAUGUGAUUAGCUGCCGACUCAUUCAUCCACAUGCCCGGUAAAAGGGACGAUGGCUUUGCCGGGCACAUGAGUGAAUGAUGCGGGAGGUGAGUCGGAUCCCAUGCUGCCUUUGCUUGGACUGAAGGGAGCUCCCUUCUCUACUACC